Molecule: ribosomal RNA, 447 nt
Filed under: uncultured bacterium
Lineage: Bacteria
Description: partial 16S ribosomal RNA
Rfam family: Bacterial small subunit ribosomal RNA
Source: RNAcentral
AGCGAACGCUGGCGGCAGGCUUAACACAUGCAAGUCGAGCGCCCCGCAAGGGGAGCGGCAGACGGGUGAGUAACGCGUGGGAACGUGCCCUUCGGUCUGGAAUAACCCAGGGAAACUUGGGCUAAUACCGGAUACGUCCGAAAGGAGAAAGAUUUAUCGCCGAAGGAUCGGCCCGCGUAAGAUUAGCUAGUUGGUGAGGUAACGGCUCACCAAGGCAAUGAUCUUUAGCUGUUCUGAGAGGAAGAUCAGCCACACUGGGACUGAGACACGGCCCAGACUCCUACGGGAGGCAGCAGUGGGGAAUAUUGGACAAUGGGCGCAAGCCUGAUCCAGCCAUGCAGCGUGAGUGAUGAAGGCCUUAGGGUAGUAAAGCUCUUUUACCAGGGAAGAUAAUGACGGUACCUGGAGAAUAAGCCCCGGCUAACUUCGUGCCAGCCGCCGCCGUAA